GUUUGAACCCUUCUCAAGAAUCUUUUCAGCAACACGCUCAACUCGGAGUAUUCUACCAACUGUUGGUACAAAAUUUCUAUGCCAUUUGAUGUCAAAUUUUUUGUCCAACUCAAUUCCAUCAUCAAUAAGUAAGACAGAGAUUUUUGCAGCUUUGAAGCAAACAGCAGUGCUAGACUCCAACCCCAAGCGCUGGCGAGAUUCUUGAACAGCAUGCAACGAUAAGCUUGAGCCAUAUAUUUCCGCGAUUUCUUUCAGGCUUCUCUUGAAGUUGAUGGCAUGUGGUACGUCGAAUAAGG
RNAcentral lists this unclassified non-coding RNA (296 nucleotides) under Hevea brasiliensis (rubber tree). Lineage: Eukaryota; Viridiplantae; Streptophyta; Magnoliopsida; Malpighiales; Euphorbiaceae. The record is from RNAcentral.